Schizosaccharomyces pombe (fission yeast) is the source of this 211-nucleotide non-coding RNA. Lineage: Eukaryota; Fungi; Ascomycota; Schizosaccharomycetes; Schizosaccharomycetales; Schizosaccharomycetaceae. The record is from the annotation of a GenBank genome assembly.
AACAAAUGACUUCUUUUUGGAUAUUAAACCAAUUUGACUUUCUAAACGAUGAAUACGAGGUACCCACUCACCUUGAUCCAAAGACGCGUCUAAUGUUUUCACAUUUGAAGAAGCUAAAUGGAAUGGGUUCGAAUUUGAAGAAGGGCAAUCUUUAGUUUUAUCCUUGUCACGAGAAAACCCAGGUACCCGGAAACGACGGAGAAAGCUAGUU